This 553-nucleotide ribosomal RNA is filed under the name uncultured Gammaproteobacteria bacterium. RNAcentral describes it as "bacterial SSU rRNA". It matches the Rfam family "Bacterial small subunit ribosomal RNA", at positions 56 to 599 of the family's 1533-position model. The record is from RNAcentral. Lineage: Bacteria; Pseudomonadati; Pseudomonadota; Gammaproteobacteria.
UGCAGUCGAACGGAAACGAUGGAGAGCUUGCUCUUCAGGCGUCGAGUGGCGGACGGGUGAGUAAUGCAUAGGAAUCUGCCCAGUAGCGGGGGACAACUUGGGGAAACUCAAGCUAAUACCGCAUACGCCCUACGGGGGAAAGCGGGGGACCUUCGGGCCUCGCACUAUUGGAUGAGCCUAUGUCUGAUUAGCUUGUUGGUGGGGUAAUGGCCUACCAAGGCGACGAUCAGUAGCUGGUCUGAGAGGACGAUCAGCCACACUGGGACUGAGACACGGCCCAGACUCCUACGGGAGGCAGCAGUGGGGAAUAUUGCACAAUGGGCGAAAGCCUGAUGCAGCAAUGCCGCGUGUGUGAAGAAGGCCUGCGGGUUGUAAAGCACUUUCAGUUGGGAGGAAAAGCAAUGGGUUAAUAACCCGUUGUCUUGACGUUACCUACAGAAGAAGCACCGGCUAACUCUGUGCCAGCAGCCGCGGUAAUACAGAGGGUGCGAGCGUUAAUCGGAAUUACUGGGCGUAAAGCGCGCGUAGGCGGCUUGGUCAGUCGGAUGUGAAA